UUUGAAUUAAAAACUAUAAUUCUUUAUAUAAGGGUAAACUAUAAUUUGGAACCAUUUACUUCCAAUUUAAGACAAAAAAAAAACAUAAAUUGAGUUUUGAUUUUAAUUUCAUUCUCUCAUUCUAGUGUAAGUAAACAAUUUACGCUCACUCUCAUUCUACAUUCUCUAUCCCUGAACUCCCACUCCUCAGGAUUCCUACUUCAAUCCAAAAUGUAAAUACUACCCAAAUCAUCAUAUUCCUUUUUACCAGUGGUUACUUGGCUGAGUUUGUUAGUACUUCUUCUACUUAACUCUAAAAUGGAGGGUAAGAGUCUCCUGCAUUGACUUUAUUUCAAUUGUAUAUAAUUGUUCUUUUUUUAAAAAAAAGGUUUGAGUCCUUUUCAUUAUCUAAUUAAGUUGUGAAGCCUAUAUAUAUGUAAAGAAAUAAAUUUUAUCUUUAUCUAACGGAUUCGAUUUAAUUACCGUUAUUUUCCACGUGGAACUUGAAUAUAACUUCUAGAUAUUGUUUGACUGUGACAUUCUAGCUUUAAAGAAUAUGAAUAACGUACAAUCUUCACAAAAUAAGUAAAUCUACCGGUAUCAGAAUUUGAUUUGUUACUCAUUUAGCCCAAUAAUCAGAUAGUUAUUUAAUUCCUUAUAUGAAUAACCUAAUUCUAGUAACCAAAUUCUACUAUAUUAAGAGCGUUGUUAGCGUUACAAAAACCUACAAAAACCAAUGAAGAAGGGCAUGAAUAAACAUAAUCACAAUGGGAGAUCAAAAAGCUUUGUUCAUUGCUUUUAUGCUUGCCCUGGCUUCAGGCUUUGGCUUUUGCCAAGCUGAUGCCAGAAAAUUUCAGAUGAAUUUCGGAAUGAUCCCGGGGGACAAACUUUUUCAUCUUCAUCAUUUGCCCCCCGACGGCCAAAUAAAGAAACCUCCGAGACCUCCUGGUUCACAUGGGAGCCCUGCAGUUUUAUAUCCCGAUCCACCACCCCCAGGCCAUUCUUCUUCGAUUCCAGCUAGAUAUUUAAAUGAAAACAAGUUUCUUCAGCAACAUGCAUGAACCUCCAAGGCCUCGUGUUCCAAUUAGGGGCUUUUCAUAAUAAUGUAAGUUUAUCUCGGCAAUAAAAUUAAAGGAGUGAUCAUUAAUUCCUCCCGUUUGCAUGUAAUAGUCUUCAAAUUAUUAGUUAUCUUAAUGUUAUUAUCAAUUAAAUAUGCAAUAAUUAUGUAAAAAGUCUCCAAAUUAAUCAUGGUUUCUAUUAACUUUUCCAUAUGAUGUAUGCAAUCCAAGUUUUGAUUCUGAUACAUGAUCACAUCCACACAAAACGAUGUAUAAACUUAUGUGUCAACACACACACACACACACACUAUAUUCAUAUAGAAAGGAAGCCUUAUUAAAAAUUUAAUUGUUUUCAGCUAAUCACAGUCUAACGGCACACGACAUAAAAGUGCAAAAUUUACAUUAGACCAAAAAGUAGGGCUAGUAGGAUUGCUGUUAGGAUGGUCAUAUAUGAAUGCAGUGUAUUUUUGUCCUAGCUUAUCGAAUUCCCUUGAUAUAUUUCCCUAUUGUAUAUUACUCUUUUGAUCAAACUUAUUUCAACAAGUGAUUUUCAAGCGAUGGUGAUAUGGGUUUUGCCCACUCCCCUAC
Molecule: long non-coding RNA, 1625 nt
Filed under: Citrus x clementina
Lineage: Eukaryota; Viridiplantae; Streptophyta; Magnoliopsida; Sapindales; Rutaceae
Description: Citrus clementina (C. clementina) long non-coding RNA (CCLE_LNC001909)
Source: RNAcentral